Molecule: long non-coding RNA, 215 nt
Filed under: Olea europaea (common olive)
Lineage: Eukaryota; Viridiplantae; Streptophyta; Magnoliopsida; Lamiales; Oleaceae
Description: long non-coding RNA (OEUR_LNC004969)
Source: RNAcentral
AGCUCGACUUUUGGCACAGGUAUUUUAUGACACUUUAAAUAUGGCUUGGGAGGUCCUGCAUAGUUUGCUCAAUAUGGUCUUGUUCCGCACUGCAGUUAUCCUCCGAAUUUCAUCCCUGUCUUUCUCCAAGUGAUUUGUCAUUCUCUCCUCAUCCGUAUGAAAUCCCAUAUCGAAUGCCUUAAUCUCCUUUGAAUCAAUAAGAACAGAUGGAGAGU